UACAGAGGCCCCAAGCAUUAUCCGGAAUCACUGGGCGUAAAGGGUGUGUAGGCGGUCAUAUUAGUCGUUUGUGAAAGGCCUCGGGCUUAACCCGGGGAGCGCAACCGAAACGGUAUGACUGAGAGGACGCGAGAGGUAUAUGGAACUCAUGGUGUAGGGGUGAAAUCCGUUGAUAUCAUGGGGAACACCAAAUGCGAAGGCAAUAUACUGGCGCGCUCCUGACGCUGAAACACGAAAGCGUGGGAAUCGAACGGG
RNAcentral lists this ribosomal RNA (255 nucleotides) under uncultured bacterium. RNAcentral describes it as "partial 16S ribosomal RNA". It matches the Rfam family "Bacterial small subunit ribosomal RNA", at positions 524 to 776 of the family's 1533-position model. The record is from RNAcentral.